GAUGGGGCUAUCCCGGCCAGGAGAAAAGCGCGACGCACCGCGCGCCUGCCCCAUCCUUUUGCAUUCGGUG
This 70-nucleotide small RNA is filed under the name Allobosea sp. PAMC 26642. RNAcentral describes it as "Bosea sp. PAMC 26642 int-alpA RNA". It matches the Rfam family "int-alpA RNA". Rfam says of the family: Acidobacteria (1 example), Planctomycetes (1 example), Proteobacteria. Environment (Lake Washington) The record is from Rfam by way of RNAcentral. Lineage: Bacteria; Pseudomonadati; Pseudomonadota; Alphaproteobacteria; Hyphomicrobiales; Alloboseaceae.